Molecule: long non-coding RNA, 1220 nt
Filed under: Homo sapiens (human)
Lineage: Eukaryota; Metazoa; Chordata; Mammalia; Primates; Hominidae
Description: HSALNT0056027
Source: RNAcentral
AAAAUACCCAGAUCCAAAAGCAGCAGACGGCUGGGGACACUGGGCGCGUCCUGGAAGAAACAGUGACAAGGAUGUCGCCCACCACCUUUAUUACCACCUUCUCCCGCUUACUUCUCCCUCAUCACCCACGGCCUCACUCCUCGCAUUUUUCUUCUGUUAGGCUGAAAGAAGUUUCUCUCUGAGUCUUCUCAAGUACUUUUGGAGGCUCUCCAACCUCGAACCUUAAAAUUUGACGGCCCCUUCCUGAAAUGCAAAGGACCAAGACGAAUUCCCCAAGUGCCCAGAGUCUUAAUCCUACAGUCAAAGAGUUUGCUCCCCGAUGCGUCCUCCGCAGAAACCCUUUGAAAUCGCUUGGUCCAGGGCCAUGCUUGUGACAAGGACUCCCAAUGUGGUGGAGGCAUGUGCUGUGCUGUCAGUAUCUGGGUCAAGAGCAUAAGGAUUUGCACACCUAUGGGCAAACUGGGAGACAGCUGCCAUCCACUGACUCGUAAAGUUCCAUUUUUUGGGCGGAGGAUGCAUCACACUUGCCCAUGUCUGCCAGGCUUGGCCUGUUUACGGACUUCAUUUAACCGAUUUAUUUGUUUAGCCCAAAAGUAAUCGCUCUGGAGUAGAAACCAAAUGUGAAUAGCCACAUCUUACCUGUAAAGUCUUACUUGUGAUUGUGCCAAACAAAAAAUGUGCCAGAAAGAAAUGCUCUUGCUUCCUCAACUUUCCAAGUAACAUUUUUAUCUUUGAUUUGUAAAUGAUUUUUUUUUUUUUUUAUCGAAAGAGAAUUUUACUUUUGGAUAGAAAUAUGAAGUGUAAGGCAUUAUGGAACUGGUUCUUAUUUCCCUGUUUGUGUUUUGGUUUGAUUUGGCUUUUUUCUUAAAUGUCAAAAACGUACCCAUUUUCACAAAAAUGAGGAAAAUAAGAAUUUGAUAUUUUGUUAGAAAAACUUUUUUUUUUUUUUCUCACCACCCCAAGCCCCAUUUGUGCCCUGCCACACAAAUACACCUACAGCUUUUGGUCCCUUGCCUCUUCCACCUCAAAGAAUUUCAAGGCUCUUACCUUACUUUAUUUUUGUCCAUUUCUCUUCCCUCCUCUUGCAUUUUAAAGUGGAGGGUUUGUCUCUUUGAGUUUGAUGGCAGAAUCACUGAUGGGAAUCCAGCUUUUUGCUGGCAUUUAAAUAGUGAAAAGAGUGUAUAUGUGAACUUGACACUCCAAACUCCUGUCAUGGCACG